This 415-nucleotide long non-coding RNA is filed under the name Homo sapiens (human). RNAcentral describes it as "non-protein coding lnc-COQ2-4:1". The record is from RNAcentral. Lineage: Eukaryota; Metazoa; Chordata; Mammalia; Primates; Hominidae.
UAAAUAUAUCCCCAGAGAUAUGCUGUAGAAGGCUGAGUUAGGCAAAGUGCACAGGACAGAUCAGAACUUACAGGAAUUAUUUUAUGUGGUGAUAUUAACACAAUGUAAAAACGCUUUCAUGCUGAGACAAUUGCAGAUAUAUUAAUGGAGUAAAAUGUAAAUCCACACAUAUUUUUUAAAUGAAGCAUGCAAAUUCAAAGAAAAUUUGAGCUUAGGGAGUUUAAAAUAGGCUGCUUUGGACUAUUUCCCUAACCUCCCAGAAGUCCUUUUCUACUUUUCUGUCCUGAAGAGGAUGGUCAUAGGAAAGUGUGAGAAGUGCUGGCUUUAGAGAACAUAUCUGUAUUUUGUCCCUGAGGAACUGGUGGGAACCUCUCUUCUAGAGUAUCUAAAGGAAUCACCCCUGCUCCCAUGUAAG